This 1448-nucleotide ribosomal RNA is filed under the name Klebsiella aerogenes. RNAcentral's name for it is "bacterial SSU rRNA". It matches the Rfam family "Bacterial small subunit ribosomal RNA". The record is from RNAcentral. Lineage: Bacteria; Pseudomonadati; Pseudomonadota; Gammaproteobacteria; Enterobacterales; Enterobacteriaceae.
CGAACGGUAACAGGAAGCAGCUUGCUGCUUUGCUGACGAGUGGCGGACGGGUGAGUAAUGUCUGGGAAACUGCCUGAUGGAGGGGGAUAACUACUGGAAACGGUAGCUAAUACCGCAUAACGUCACAAGACCAAAGAGGGGGACCUUCGGGCCUCUUGCCAUCGGAUGUGCCCACAUGGGAUUACCUACUAUGUGGGGUAACGGCUCACCUACGCUACGAUCCCUAGCUGGUCUGAGAGGAUGACCAGCCACACUGGAACUGAGACACGGUCCAGACUCCUACGGGAGGCAGCAGUGGGGAAUAUUGCACAAUGGGCGCAAGCCUGAUGCAGCCAUGCCGCGUGUAUGAAGAAGGCCUUCGGGUUGUAAAGUACUUUCAGCGGGGAGGAAGGCGAUAAGGUUAAUAACCUUGUCGAUUGACGUUACCCGCAGAAGAAGCACCGGCUAACUCCCUGCCAGCAGCCGCGGUAAUACGGAGGGUGCAAGCGUUAAUCGGAAUUACUGGGCGUAAAGCGCACGCAGGCGGUCUGUCAAGUCGGAUGUAAAAUCCCCUGGCUCAACCUGGGAACUGCAUUCGGUCAAGUCGGAUGUGAAAUCCCCGGGCUCAACCUGGGAACUGCAUUCGAAACUGGCAGGCUAGAGUCUUGUAGAGGGGGGUAGAAUUCCAGGUGCAGCGGUGAAAUGCGUAGAGAUCUGGAGGAAUACCGGUGGCGAAGGCGGCCCCCUGGACAAAGACUGACGCUCAGGUGCGAAAGCGUGGGGAGCAAACAGGAUUAGAUACCCUGGUAGUCCACGCCGUAAACGAUGUCGACUUGGAGGUUGUGCCCUUGAGGCGUGGCUUCCGGAGCUAACGCGUUAAGUCGACCGCCUGGGGAGUACGGCCGCAAGGUUAAAACUCAAAUGAAUUGACGGGGGCCCGCACAAGCGGUGGAGCAUGUGGUUUAAUUCGAUGCAACGCGAAGAACCUUACCUACUCUUGACAUCCAGAGAACUUAGCAGAGAUGCUUUGGUGCCUUCGGGAACUCUGAGACAGGUGCUGCAUGGCUGUCGUCAGCUCGUGUUGUGAAAUGUUGGGUUAAGUCCCGCAACGAGCGCAACCCUUAUCCUUUGUUGCCAGCGGUCAGGCCGGGAACUCAAAGGAGACUGCCAGUGAUAAACUGGAGGAAGGUGGGGAUGACGUCAAGUCAUCAUGGCCCUUACGAGUAGGGCUACACACGUGCUACAAUGGCGCAUACAAAGAGAAGCGACCUCGCGAGAGCAAGCGGACCUCAUAAAGUAUGUCGUAGUCCGGAUUGGAGUCUGCAACUCGACUCCAUGAAGUCGGAAUCGCUAGUAAUCGUGGAUCAGAAUGCUACGGUGAAUACGUUCCCGGGCCUUGUACACACCGCCCGUCACACCAUGGGAGUGGGUUGCAAAAGAAGUAGGUAGCUUAACCUUCGGGAGGGCGC